UAGUCAUAUGCUUGUCUCAAAGAUUAAGCCAUGCAUGUCUAAGUAUAAACAACUUUAUACUGUGAAACUGCGUACAGCUCAUUAAAUCAGUAAUAAUUUAUUUGAUGGUCUCUUCUACAUGGAUAACCGUAGUAAUUCUAGAGCUAAUACAUGCGUAAAGUCCCGACUCGCGAGGGGAGGGAUGUAUUUAUUAGUUAAAAAACCAAUGCGAACCUCUGGUUCGGUCAUCUUGGUGAGUCAUAGUAACUGUUCGAAGCGCAUGGGCUCGUCCCGGCG
RNAcentral lists this ribosomal RNA (276 nucleotides) under uncultured eukaryote. RNAcentral describes it as "partial 18S ribosomal RNA". It matches the Rfam family "Eukaryotic small subunit ribosomal RNA", at positions 21 to 289 of the family's 1831-position model. The record is from RNAcentral.